RNAcentral lists this long non-coding RNA (1208 nucleotides) under Phaseolus vulgaris (common bean). RNAcentral's name for it is "long non-coding RNA (PVUL_LNC002384)". The record is from RNAcentral. Lineage: Eukaryota; Viridiplantae; Streptophyta; Magnoliopsida; Fabales; Fabaceae.
UGUCCUUUCAUUCGAGUUUAUAAUGUUUUUUCGUUUCUGAUAUUUUCGGCAUCUAGAAGUCACAUUCGAUAAAAAUAUUGUUAAUGGAUUUCAUCUAAGAAAUAAUUAAGGUAGACUCGUUUAUGAUUAUAUCUUUCAUUCACAAGGGAUUCGUAUCUAUAUAUGAAAGGCUUUGUUAUAGUUAAGGAAAACUUUAAAGUUGCCUAGUACUUGAACUAUAACAUGUGUUGGCUUUAAUUUUAUGUGUACUUCAUAAGUUUGGUGUUUGUUACUAAAACUAAAGCUUUUUACACAACCAAAUAAUUAAACUUUUCUCCUUUUUCCAUGGAGAAUGCCAACGAUACAUUUUCUUUCCCUUUUCCUUUUGGACUCGCUUGAGUUGCUUCUAAAUAUGCCUAUGAGUAUGAGUGGCUUGUGUCAAUCCCUCGCAGAUUUCAGUUCGGUGAAGUUGACAGAUAUUGGUGGAGCAGAAGUUACGAAAACGAUGUUACAGAAGUAGGUUAGGGCAUGGAUGAGAGAUGAAGGUGUGUUGCAGUAAAGUGUUUGACAGGAGUGGUGGUGGAGAUUGGUGAAGUGAAGAUGUGCAACCAAAUGGGGUCACUCUUACUUAAGGUUCAUUAAUCCACAGCUUUGUAAGGCAGCUGAAGAAGUAGAUCUUGCUUUAAUGUGCAUCAGCAUGUUAGUUAAAUUGAGAAACCCAUGUUAGUGGUAGUGCAUGAGAUUGGUAAGUUUUGGUGGUCUUGUUUUCAUCUAUAAAUGAAAGAGGAAAAAAAUAUUUUGGUUUUCUUUGUUAGAUUUUGAAAAUUUGUUUAUUAUAGGUUGCAGCUUGCAUGCAUGUGAGUGAGGGUGCUUAGAGAGAGGAAUGAUUCAGUUUGCCACACCUGCACCUUUGUCUUCUUGCGCAGCCUAUUACAAUUCUGCAUGAUGUCAGCUACAGCGCCUAACAGGCUGCAUUAAAUCAUAUUCUUGCUCCAACUCCAAACACAAACCACAUCUUUUGUAUAUCAUGAUCCAAGUUGAGAUAUUAUAGAAAUAAAUAUAUGUCUUUUGCCAUUCGUUUUAAUUUAUUUCUUUUUUCUUUAGAAAGUUUUAUAUGAUGGGGAGCUUUUAGUUUGGGCCCAUGUGGUUAUUUCUUCAGUUUAAAUCAUAUAUAAAUUGUCAAGAUCAUGUUACGUAUUUGCUUUUAUUUUCAGACAAAUAUAUAGUAC